UGUGGGAGCGAGCCUGCUCGCGAACACGAUGGGUCAGUAGAUACAAAGGCGCCUGAUACGCCGCUAUCGCGAGCAGGCUCGCUCCCACA
This 89-nucleotide non-coding RNA is filed under the name Pseudomonas baetica. The record is from RNAcentral. Lineage: Bacteria; Pseudomonadati; Pseudomonadota; Gammaproteobacteria; Pseudomonadales; Pseudomonadaceae.